CACAUCGCCUCUUGCCCCCCCCCAGGACUGCAGCAACGCCUGGUGCCAGGAGCUGAGCUGCGCCCUGGGGCGCCUGGAGCGCGGCGCCGAGGUCUCCGUCCACGUCCUGCGCGCCAUCCACAACGACUUCUUCCGAGCGGCUAAAUUCAGGAGCCUGAGGAUCGUCAGCACGGCCGUGCUGGGGGUCCCGGGGGGCAGCGCGCUGGUGCUGGGGGAGGCGGCUCAGCGCAGGGAGACGGUGCUGGAAAUCAUCCAGGCCAAGCGGGUGCCCGUCUCCCUGUGGAUCCUGGUGGGCAGCAUCCUGGGGGGGCUGCUCCUGCUGGCGCUCAUCAUCUUCUGCCUGUGGAGGCUCGGCUUCUUCACCCGCAAGAAGCUCCCGGAGGAGAAGGAGGAGAAGGAGGAGCAGUGAGCCCAGCGGCGGCCCCGCGCUUCCCGGCUCUCUCCAGCCCCAGCGGCCCCCCGAGCCCGGCACCAUGGGGAGGGGACGGGUCCCUUCCCUGUCCCCGGGGACGGCCGGGGGGGCUCGGGACUCCGCCAACCCCCCAACAUCCCCCCCCAGUUUUGGUUCCACCGUGGCCGAGGGCGAUGCCGGUGCCGGGUUGUGCUGGCGCGGACGCAGCCAGGUCGAGGUCGGGGCCGGCGCCGCGGCGCAGGAGACGCGGGCUCGGCCCGGAGGAGACGCGGGGGCGACGGCGCAGACGGGGACGGACGUGGGGCGACCACCGAAAAACAAAACAAAACGGCCCCACCAAUAAAGCUCAGCCCCGUGGAGGUGCUCA
This is a long non-coding RNA of Oxyura jamaicensis (ruddy duck), 779 nucleotides long. RefSeq lists it as uncharacterized. The record is from RefSeq and is a predicted model, not a curated record. The transcript has 4 exons. Lineage: Eukaryota; Metazoa; Chordata; Aves; Anseriformes; Anatidae.